RNAcentral lists this ribosomal RNA (409 nucleotides) under Caulobacter vibrioides. Its description in RNAcentral is "partial 16S ribosomal RNA". It matches the Rfam family "Bacterial small subunit ribosomal RNA", at positions 355 to 776 of the family's 1533-position model. RNAcentral also lists the same sequence under 1 other name. Lineage: Bacteria; Pseudomonadati; Pseudomonadota; Alphaproteobacteria; Caulobacterales; Caulobacteraceae. The record is from RNAcentral.
UGGGGAAUAUUGCACAAUGGGCGAAAGCCUGAUGCAGCAACGCCGCGUGAGGGACGACGGCCUUCGGGUUGUAAACCUCUUUUAGCAGGAAAGAAGCGAAAGUGACGGUACCUGCAGAAAAAGCGCCGGCUAACUACGUGCCAGCAGCCGCGGUAAUACGUAGGGCGCAAGCGUUAUCCGGAAUUAUUGGGCGUAAAGAGCUCGUAGGCGGUCUGUCGCGUCUGCUGUGAAAACCCGAGGCUCAACCUCGGGCCUGCAGUGGGUACGGGCAGACUAGAGUGCGGUAGGGGAGAUUGGAAUUCCUGGUGUAGCGGUGGAAUGCGCAGAUAUCAGGAGGAACACCGAUGGCGAAGGCAGAUCUCUGGGCCGUAACUGACGCUGAGGAGCGAAAGGGUGGGGAGCAAACAGG